RNAcentral lists this unclassified non-coding RNA (306 nucleotides) under plant metagenome. RNAcentral's name for it is "partial contains 5.8S ribosomal RNA, internal transcribed spacer 2, and large subunit ribosomal RNA". The stretch from base 1 to 104 matches the Rfam family "5.8S ribosomal RNA", at positions 51 to 154 of the family's 154-position model. The record is from RNAcentral.
AAAUGCGCUCAGUAGUGUGAAUUGCAGAAUUCAGUGAAUCAUCGAAUCUUUGAACGCACAUUGCGACCUUUGGUAUUCCAAAGGGCAUGCCUGUUCGAGCGUCAUUUGUACCCUCAAGCUUUGCUUGGUGUUGGGCGUCUUGUCUCUAGCUUUGCUGGAGACUCGCCUUAAAGUAAUUGGCAGCCGGCCUACUGGUUUCGGAGCGCAGCACAAGUCGCACUCUCUAUCAGCAAAGGUCUAGCAUCCAUUAAGCCUUUUUUCAACUUUUGACCUCGGAUCAGGUAGGGAUACCCGCUGAACUUAAGC